Molecule: ribosomal RNA, 725 nt
Filed under: Arthrobacter oryzae
Lineage: Bacteria; Bacillati; Actinomycetota; Actinomycetes; Micrococcales; Micrococcaceae
Description: bacterial SSU rRNA
Rfam family: Bacterial small subunit ribosomal RNA
Source: RNAcentral
CUUGCUGGUGGAUUAGUGGCGAACGGGUGAGUAACACGUGAGUAACCUGCCCUUAACUCUGGGAUAAGCCUGGGAAACUGGGUCUAAUACCGGAUAUGACUCCUCAUCGCAUGGUGGGGGGUGGAAAGCUUUAUUGUGGUUUUGGAUGGACUCGCGGCCUAUCAGCUUGUUGGUGAGGUAAUGGCUCACCAAGGCGACGACGGGUAGCCGGCCUGAGAGGGUGACCGGCCACACUGGGACUGAGACACGGCCCAGACUCCUACGGGAGGCAGCAGUGGGGAAUAUUGCACAAUGGGCGAAAGCCUGAUGCAGCGACGCCGCGUGAGGGAUGACGGCCUUCGGGUUGUAAACCUCUUUCAGUAGGGAAGAAGCGAAAGUGACGGUACCUGCAGAAGAAGCGCCGGCUAACUACGUGCCAGCAGCCGCGGUAAUACGUAGGGCGCAAGCGUUAUCCGGAAUUAUUGGGCGUAAAGAGCUCGUAGGCGGUUUGUCGCGUCUGCCGUGAAAGUCCGGGGCUCAACUCCGGAUCUGCGGUGGGUACGGGCAGACUAGAGUGAUGUAGGGGAGACUGGAAUUCCUGGUGUAGCGGUGAAAUGCGCAGAUAUCAGGAGGAACACCGAUGGCGAAGGCAGGUCUCUGGGCAUUAACUGACGCUGAGGAGCGAAAGCAUGGGGAGCGAACAGGAUUAGAUACCCUGGUAGUCCAUGCCGUAAACGUUGGGCACU